Long non-coding RNA from Zingiber officinale, 919 nucleotides. RefSeq lists it as uncharacterized. The transcript has 4 exons. The record is from RefSeq and is a predicted model, not a curated record. Lineage: Eukaryota; Viridiplantae; Streptophyta; Magnoliopsida; Zingiberales; Zingiberaceae.
AGAUUAUGCGUUCCUCCUCUCGACCGAAAGAGAAGAAGGCGCAAACGGCUUCUUCCUCGUCGGAGAUCUAAGCUUCGAUCUCUCCGUUUACGCCCCCGAUGGCUUCGUCCUCCAAUGAUUUCUAUACUGGAGUUGGCGUUGUCAAGAGGCAAGACAGAGGGCCUCUGUUGAAGUUCCUAGUUCCUCUCAUAUACGCUCUAGUUCUUCCUCUCAUUUAGUUCGAAUCGAUCCGAGGCACAAACCGGUGCUGAGGGAGAGGUUGUUCUUCGGCGCCUUGGCUGCUGCAUUCGCUCACGGAGCAUACUUGUGGCUGCUUGCUAGCUUCGACAUCCUCCAUCAUCUCAAAGCAACCCAUCUGAAGGAAAGAGGGGCAAACAUGUCACUUAUGUCUCUCUUGACUUUUCUUUUGUUUGAGAUUGGUAAGAAAAUGAUUCAUUUAAUUCUUUCUCACUUUUCUUUUUCUACAAGUAAACAUCAACUUUUAGAUUAUCUUCCUUGUUUUUUCUCUCCAAGUAAAUAAGCUCAAGUAAAUGCUAAGAAAGAAACAGGAAAGAGAGUUGUCAAAGCAAUAUGUGGAAGCAUAUUCAUGGAGGAUGCUUUUGCCCAAAAGGCUUUAAAUUUGAAGCGAGAUGAUCCAAAUGCUACAUUAUGGGAUUUUCACCCUGUACAAAUCUUCAUUUAUUAAAUUUAUUUCCCCUUUCUUUUUUCUACUGUAGGAGAUAGUAAAUUAGGAGAGAAGAUGGAGGAAAAAAAAUUGAAGGGGAGAGAAUUUUUUUUUCCGGUCAUUUGGGAGGAUAGAAGGAUGAGGACAAAAGGUUUCAUAUUUUUUUCUCAUUUAUCACUUCCAAUCCUACCUGUUAUCCUCAAAUACAAGCUACUAACCGAAAAGGCCAAACUUUGCCAUUUUUUUACCGUUUAA